AACACAUCCUCCUAUUAAGUUAUUGAAAACAGUUAACCUGAAUUUAUAAUAAUACCAUGGUGUAAAUGAGUAACAUCAAUUCAGGCUUACACACUCAAGGUGUAUCUAAACAUAUAUAUGAGAUGUGUCUGGUAGAAAUUGACCUUUUGCAAGUUAAUGUGAAUAUCUACAGAGACAUAUAAAUAUUUAGUAUACAUGUCUCUGAUAUGUACAAGCAUAAUAAUACUCUGAUAUAUUUGGAGCAUUAAGAAACUUUGUAGAACCAGUAUUGUCACAGAUUUAUUUGUUUACUUGGUAUUUUUUUAAAUGGAUACAGUUCAACAAGGUAAACAUAUGCAGGAGUUUCUUGCUGCAUUGAAGAUCUAUUGGUGACCUUUGACUGUUGUUUGUUCUAUGGGUGGGUUGUUGUCUCUUUGACACAUUCCCCAUUUCCAUUCUCAAUUUUUUCAAAAAAUUAGUUUUAUGAACUGAUUACUAUAGUCUAGCAUUUGUCUAGUGAACUGUUGUUUUGUCUGUUUAUCCUUUUCAUACUUUUUCUAGCUAUAAUUUGCGUUUUAGUAGUUUUUAUUUUUAGACUUUUGAGUGUGAACAGGUUUGACCGGUUGGUAUUCCCGAUUCCUCGCCUCUCUUUUUUUACGGGACACAUCAACGACUAUCUGAAUAAAGUGUCCGCUAUUACUGUAGUGCUUAUUGUAAAAGUACUUAUCCUUUAUAAUGUAAAUCUAAAUGUCGAGGUAGAUUAAAAUUUAAACCAAUAAAAUUGUGUUCGAAGAAUAAAAC
Molecule: long non-coding RNA, 780 nt
Filed under: Mytilus galloprovincialis (Mediterranean mussel)
Lineage: Eukaryota; Metazoa; Mollusca; Bivalvia; Mytilida; Mytilidae
Source: RNAcentral